Molecule: ribosomal RNA, 486 nt
Filed under: uncultured bacterium
Lineage: Bacteria
Description: partial 16S ribosomal RNA
Rfam family: Bacterial small subunit ribosomal RNA
Source: RNAcentral
AUUGAACGCUGGCGGCAUGCCUUACACAUGCAAGUCGAACGGCAGCACGGGUGCCUGCACCUGGUGGCGAGUGGCGAACGGGUGAGUAAUACAUCGGAACAUGUCCUGUAGUGGGGGAUAGCCCGGCGAAAGCCGGAUUAAUACCGCAUACGAUCUACGGAUGAAAGCGGGGGACCUUCGGGCCUCGCGCUAUAGGGUUGGCCGAUGGCUGAUUAGCUAGUUGGUGGGGUAAAGGCCUACCAAGGCGACGAUCAGUAGCUGGUCUGAGAGGACGACCAGCCACACUGGGACUGAGACACGGCCCAGACUCCUACGGGAGGCAGCAGUGGGGAAUUUUGGACAAUGGGCGAAAGCCUGAUCCAGCAAUGCCGCGUGUGUGAAGAAGGCCUUCGGGUUGUAAAGCACUUUUGUCCGGAAAGAAAUCCUUGGCUCUAAUACAGUCGGGGGAUGACGGUACCGGAAGAAUAAGCACCGGCUAACUACGUG